CUGUUUUCUAGGUAACCCAGCUACGUUGGCAGUCAGAUUUAAAUAAAACAUAAUUCUUGCUCUGUCUUAUCUAGCCUAAUUCCCUUAUUUGACAGAGGGAGCUGAGUCUCAGAGAAGUUAAGUGGAGGAGCUAUGUCUAUUCAUUACUGUAACAAAUAGUUAACAAGCAUCCGUUAUGUGCCAGGCGUGAUUCUAGGCACUGGCAAUGCAGUGGUGAAUAAAAUGGACAAAAAAUCCCUGCCUUUAUGGAACACAGCAUUCUAUUGGAGGAGAAAAAGACCAUAGACAAGGUUCAUGUUGGCUAUGUUGGGGACAACUUUAGAAGAGGAAAGGCAAAAGCAGAGGCACCCUUGAUCCAGGUGCUGGGUAGACUCCAACGAGUAUGACCCACUAGGAGUCUGGUCUAGUUCACUUAUGAUCCAAGCUGAAGAGAAUUGCAGAGAACAGCUGCUGACUUGGAAGGCAGACUUUGUGACAUCCACGUGGAGCUCUGGGGCAGUUGUCAGCAAAUGCCAUCUACUCAGACAUUAAUGAAAGCACAGAAUGAGCACUGGGUGGCUGAUAUUUCCAUCUGUCCAGCUCCACAAGCCAAAAACUAGGAAGUCAUCUUUACUGCCUCUGCCUCCCUGACCUCCACAUGCUGCCCCCACCACCCCCAUCUAAUCAUCCCAGUUACCUGUAAAACUUCUCUUGAAUCUGUUCACAACUCUCUACCUCUAUAGUAAUAACUCUAGUCCAAGCUAUGAUCAUUUCCCACCUGGUCCCUGUUGUCACUCUGUGGCCUGCGAUCUCUAUUAGUCAGGAUAUAUAGCCAAUGCUGCAGAAACAGAAAGCAUGACCUCUCAGUGGCUUAACACAAAGAAGGUUUCUUUCUCACUUAAGCAAAAGUAGGUGGGGUGAUGCUCCUCCAUCAGUCUAACUACCUGUAUUUUUUCCAUAGCAAUUAUCAUAGUUUGUAAUGAUAUAUUUAAUUGUAUGCUUAUUGGAUUAGAUUGAUUUUCGUUGUUCUCACUAGGAUGUACGCUACCUGAUAGUAAGGCCUACACCUAGAACAAAGCCUAUAAUAUAGCAAUAAUCCUUGAAAUAUUUUUGAAUGAAUGAAUGAAUGGAUAAAUGAAGUGGCUAAACUAUAACUGGAAAACAUUUAAUUGUCCUGAUCUAAAAAAUUAUAAAAUAUUUCCUGUGUAAAAAAUCAUUGUAAUACAUAUGGAUAUUUUAAGCAUAACAAUAAAAAAAAACUCAUGUAUCACCAAUUCAAAAAGAUAACACAUUACCUCUGCCCUCUGUGUGUCCCUCCCUGAGCAUGUCUUAGUCCUAGAGCUAAACAAUAGGUUACAUUUUGUGUUUACCAUUCUUCUUCUUUUUUUG
This 1368-nucleotide long non-coding RNA is filed under the name Papio anubis (olive baboon). RNAcentral describes it as "lncRNA (ENSPANG00000047806.1)". The record is from RNAcentral. Lineage: Eukaryota; Metazoa; Chordata; Mammalia; Primates; Cercopithecidae.